UACGUAGGGUGCAAGCGUUAAUCGGAAUUACUGGGCGUAAAGCGUGCGCAGGCGGUGAUGUAAGACAGAUGUGAAAUCCCCGGGCUCAACCUGGGAACUGCAUUUGUGACUGCAUCGCUGGAGUGCGGCAGAGGGGGAUGGAAUUCCGCGUGUAGCAGUGAAAUGCGUAGAUAUGCGGAGGAACACCGGUGGCGAAGGCAAUCCCCUGGGCCUGCACUGACGCUCAUGCACGAAAGCGUGGGGAGCAAACAGG
RNAcentral lists this ribosomal RNA (253 nucleotides) under uncultured bacterium. RNAcentral describes it as "partial 16S ribosomal RNA". It matches the Rfam family "Bacterial small subunit ribosomal RNA", at positions 524 to 776 of the family's 1533-position model. The record is from RNAcentral.